GGCGCCUGUUUAACAAAAACAUGUCCUAUUGUAUUAUUUAAUAGGUCUGGCCUGCCCAGUGAUAAUUUCAACGGCCGCGGUAUAUUGACCGUGCAAAGGUAGCAUAAUCAUUAGUCUUUUAAUAGGAGGCUGGAAUGAAAGGUUUAACGAGAAAUUGACUGUCUCAAUUGCAAUCUUGAAUUUAUCUUUUGAGUCAAAAGACUUAAAUAUAAUUGGUGGACGAGAAGACCCUAUAGAGCUUGACAAUUAUUUUUUUAUAUUUACUUAGACUGAAAUUAUUUAUUUAUAUUAAAAAAAUUGUUUUGUUGGGGUGACAAUAAAUAUAUAUUUAACUUUUAUCAUAUUAUUAACAUUAAUUUAUGACUUUUGGAUCCAAAAAUUUUGAUCAUUAGACUAAGUUACCUUAGGGAUAACAGCGUAAUCUUCCCUCAGAGUUCAUAUUUACGGGAAGGGUUGCGACCUCGAUGUUGGAUUAAGAUAAUAAUUAGGUGCAGUAGCUUAAUUAAUAGGUCUGUUCGACCUUUAAAUUCUUACAUGAUCUGAGUUCAGACCGGUUUAAGCCAGGUCGGUUUCUAUCCCCAAUUUAAUAUCAGUUAUUAGUACGAAAGGACCAUAAUUGAAAAAUAUUUUUUAUGUUUUGAAUUUUAUU
RNAcentral lists this ribosomal RNA (649 nucleotides) under Ischnura elegans. Its description in RNAcentral is "partial 16S ribosomal RNA". It matches the Rfam family "Bacterial large subunit ribosomal RNA", at positions 1795 to 2730 of the family's 2925-position model. The record is from RNAcentral. Lineage: Eukaryota; Metazoa; Arthropoda; Insecta; Odonata; Coenagrionidae.